UUUCCGUAGGUGAACCUGCGGAAGGAUCAUUCAUAAUAAAGUGUUGUAGGGCACUUUUUAAAAAUCCAUAUCCACCUUGGGAACAAUGUUAAGUCUCUCGUUCAAGACAGUGUCGACUGUUCUUGGGCAGGGUCUUUAUAUAUCAACUCUUUCUUAAACCAAUUUGUCUGAAAAAUAUUAUGAAUACUUAAUUCAAAAUGCAACUUUCAACAACGGAUCUCUUGGCUCUC
RNAcentral lists this unclassified non-coding RNA (230 nucleotides) under plant metagenome. Its description in RNAcentral is "partial contains small subunit ribosomal RNA, internal transcribed spacer 1, and 5.8S ribosomal RNA". The record is from RNAcentral.